AUGGGCGAAAGCCUGAUCCAGCCAUGCCGCGUGUGUGAAGAAGGUCUUCGGAUUGUAAAGCUCUUUAAGUUGGGACGAAGGGGACUGACCUAAUACGUUAGUGUUUUGACGUUACCGACGAGCAAUAAGCACCGGCUUACUCUGUGCCAGCAGCCGCGGUAAUA
This 164-nucleotide ribosomal RNA is filed under the name uncultured Pseudomonas sp. Its description in RNAcentral is "partial 16S ribosomal RNA". It matches the Rfam family "Bacterial small subunit ribosomal RNA", at positions 371 to 525 of the family's 1533-position model. The record is from RNAcentral. Lineage: Bacteria; Pseudomonadati; Pseudomonadota; Gammaproteobacteria; Pseudomonadales; Pseudomonadaceae.